This 638-nucleotide long non-coding RNA is filed under the name Phascolarctos cinereus (koala). Its description in RNAcentral is "lncRNA (ENSPCIG00000024869.2)". Lineage: Eukaryota; Metazoa; Chordata; Mammalia; Diprotodontia; Phascolarctidae. The record is from RNAcentral.
AAAUGAAACUGGUGAUACUGGACUAGGAGAUGCAGUGGCCAAACUUAAGGUCAGGAAAAACUGAGUUCGAAUCCUGCUUUGGUCUCUUAGGAGCUGAUACUUAAAUUUUCUGAGCCUCAGAUUCCUCAUCUAUAAAAUGAGGGGGUUGGACUUAGCAGUGUCUAUCAUCCCUUCUGGCUCUAAAUCUAUGAUGCUCUAAGUGUGGCUGUUCUAGGAUUGCUGCCUUACUUCUGUAUCCUUAAUCCCAAGCAAGUUAGUUCCUUCCCACCCACUCUGUGGAAUGUUCCCUGGCUCGUCCUAGGUAAGAGAGAGUUGUACAACUAACUUGUGCAUUCAGGUGGAGCCUUCUUGCAAAUUUAAAGGAUUUAGCUCUUGUGCUAUUUUAGAAGCUGGGCUUCCCAGAGCAUGCGACAGAUUAAUAUGGAAGAUACGUGGACCCACAACAGGUAUAUAAAAUCCUAAAUACUGAAUGGAUUGGACUUAAAGUAAAGCAGGCUACCUGAAUUCCUCAUAUUUGUUUUAUAUCUUAAAUUUGGAGAUAGUGAUGAUGAUGAUGAUGAUAAUGAUGAUGAUGAUGAUGAUGAUGACAAUAAUAAUAAUAUAAUAGUUCACAGUAACACAACAUUUGGGGGUUUGUG